RNAcentral lists this long non-coding RNA (401 nucleotides) under Phascolarctos cinereus (koala). RNAcentral describes it as "lncRNA (ENSPCIG00000036900.1)". The record is from RNAcentral. Lineage: Eukaryota; Metazoa; Chordata; Mammalia; Diprotodontia; Phascolarctidae.
AUAUAUAUAUAUAUAUAUAUAUAUAUAUAUACAUAUAUAUAUAUACACACAUACAACACACACACACACACACACACACACACACACACACACACACACACACACACAUAUAUAUAUUCAUUCCCUUCCCCUUAUUCUCUCUGCAGAACUCUCUACUCUUGGCAGUUGUCCUGGGUUUGAUUUUGAGACACUUCUGUAUAGUAUCAGCUCUUGACUUGACUCUGCCUGUGAGAUUGACAGACCUUUGGCCAUUCAGAGGACCCAAGGGGCUUUGAAGGAUUGGAAGAGCUUUCUCAAAAGCAGCAAAAGGCAAAGAGACCUACAGGUUUGUGACAGUGGCCCCUCCCCUGCUCUCCCAUCUCCGGAACCCUGUGUGGGUGUGGCCCAAAUAGGAGCAGAAG